RNAcentral lists this unclassified non-coding RNA (194 nucleotides) under Glomeraceae sp. Its description in RNAcentral is "partial contains 5.8S ribosomal RNA and internal transcribed spacer 2". The stretch from base 1 to 71 matches the Rfam family "5.8S ribosomal RNA", at positions 84 to 154 of the family's 154-position model. Lineage: Eukaryota; Fungi; Glomeromycota; Glomeromycetes; Glomerales; Glomeraceae. The record is from RNAcentral.
GUGAAUCAUCGAAUUUUUGAACGCAAAUUGCGCUUCCUGGUAUUCCGGGGAGUAUGCCUGUUUGAGGGUCAGUAUUAAUAAAAAAUCGGUUUAGUUACAGAUUGUUUCUUUUCCGGAGUUUGGGCUAUCUUAACAUUUUUGGUUAAGAGGCUUAAAAUUGACUUUUUUUGCCCAUUUUUAAACGGACUUAAAUU